Molecule: ribosomal RNA, 396 nt
Filed under: uncultured bacterium
Lineage: Bacteria
Description: partial 16S ribosomal RNA
Rfam family: Bacterial small subunit ribosomal RNA
Source: RNAcentral
AUACGUAGGGUGCAAGCGUUAAUCGGAUUUACUGGGCGUAAAGCGCGCGUAGGUGGCUAAUUAAGUCAAAUGUGAAAUCCCCGAGCUUAACUUGGGAAUUGCAUUCGAUACUGGUUAGCUAGAGUAUGGGAGAGGAUGGUAGAAUUCCAGGUGUAGCGGUGAAAUGCGUAGAGAUCUGGAGGAAUACCGAUGGCGAAGGCAGCCAUCUGGCCUAAUACUGACACUGAGGUGCGAAAGCAUGGGGAGCAAACAGGAUUAGAUACCCUGGUAGUCCAUGCCGUAAACGAUGUCUACUAGCCGUUGGGGCCCUUGAGGCUUUAGUGGCGCAGCUAACGCGAUAAGUAGACCGCCUGGGGAGUACGGUCGCAAGACUAAAACUCAAAUGAAUUGGCGGGG